This 353-nucleotide transfer-messenger RNA is filed under the name Phycisphaerales bacterium. It matches the Rfam family "transfer-messenger RNA". From Rfam's summary of the family: Bacterial tmRNA, also known as 10Sa RNA or SsrA, is named for its dual tRNA and mRNA-like properties. Its role is to liberate the mRNA from a stalled ribosome. To accomplish this part of the tmRNA is used as a reading frame that ends in a translation stop signal. The record is from RNAcentral. Lineage: Bacteria; Pseudomonadati; Planctomycetota; Phycisphaerae; Phycisphaerales.
GGGGCCGAUAUGGAUUCGACCGAACAUGUGACGCUGAACGUCGCGUGCCGUGGAGCAUGAAGGCCACGUAAAAAUCAUGCACAAAAAUAGUUGCCAAUAACAACUACGCUCUCGCUGCCUAAUUUUUAGGUAGCCCGUCCUGCGCAGCUCGGCCCGUGGCCGCGUGGUGACGAAGACAACGGGCUGGCGCUCAGAGGGUUCUCCCGAGUAUGAGCGCGAGGAGUCAUCGGGCGAUAGGAAGCGUCAAGCCUGCCGAGGGCGUGCCGCAACCGAACGCAAAUCAUCGUGCUACGCAUGUAGAAGCGUUCAGCAGACUGUUCGACACGGGGGUUCGAUUCCCCCCGGCUCCAUUU